This 867-nucleotide ribosomal RNA is filed under the name Fuscoporia torulosa. RNAcentral's name for it is "eukaryotic LSU rRNA". It matches the Rfam family "Eukaryotic large subunit ribosomal RNA", at positions 66 to 915 of the family's 3401-position model. Lineage: Eukaryota; Fungi; Basidiomycota; Agaricomycetes; Hymenochaetales; Hymenochaetaceae. The record is from RNAcentral.
UAACAAGGAUUCCCCUAGUAACUGCGAGUGAAGAGGGAAAAGCUCAAAUUUAAAAUCUGGCGGUUUUGUCGCCCGAGUUGUAAUCUGGAGAAGCGUUUUCCGCGCCGGACCGUGUACAAGUCUCUUGGAACAGAGUGUCAUAGAGGGUGAGAAUCCCGUCCAUGACACGGACUCCCGGUGCUUUGUGAUACGCUCUCGAAGAGUCGAGUUGUUUGGGAAUGCAGCUCAAAAUGGGUGGUAAGCUCCAUCUAAAGCUAAAUAUUGGCGAGAGACCGAUAGCGAACAAGUACCGUGAGGGAAAGAUGAAAAGCACUUUGGAAAGAGAGUAAAACAGUACGUGAAAUUGUUGAAAGGGAAACGCUUGAAGUCAGUCGCAUCUUACUUGACUCAGCCUUGCUUCGGCUUGGUGUAUUUCAAGUAGGAUGGGUCAACAUCGAUUUUGACCGGCGGACAAGGGGUGAAGGAAUGUGGCACUCUUCGGAGUGUGUUAUAACCUUUUCUCAUAUACGUCGGUUGGGAUUGAGGCCCGCAGCGCGCCCUUGUGGCCGGAGGUUCGCCUCACGUAACGCGCUUAGGAUGUUGGCAUAAUGGCUUUAAGCGACCCGUCUUGAAACACGGACCAAGGAGUCUAACAUGCUCGCGAGUGUUAGGGUGGAAAACCCUUGCGCGUAAUGAAAGUGAAAGUUGAGAACCUCCGCAAGGGGGAGCAUCGACGCCCGGCCCUGAAGUUUACUGACGGUGCUGCGGUAGAGCGCGUAUGUUGGGACCCGAAAGAUGGUGAACUAUGCCUGAAUAGGGCGAAGCCAGAGGAAACUCUGGUGGAGGCUCGUAGCGAUUCUGACGUGCAAAUCGAUCGUCAAAUUUGGG